UUGACCUCGGAUCAGGUAGGGAUACCCGCU
Molecule: non-coding RNA, 30 nt
Filed under: Aspergillus niger
Lineage: Eukaryota; Fungi; Ascomycota; Eurotiomycetes; Eurotiales; Aspergillaceae
Also listed under: 78 other names
Source: RNAcentral